CCUACGGGAGGCAGCAGUGAGGAAUAUUGGUCAAUGGGCGAGAGCCUGAACCAGCCAAGUCGCGUGAAGGAUGAAGGCUCUAUGGUUUGUAAACUUCUUUUAUAUGGGAAUAAAGUGAGGAACGUGUUCCUUUUUGUAUGUACCAUAUGAAUAAGCAUCGGCUAACUCCGUGCCAGCACCCGCGGUAAUACGGAGGAUGCGAGCGUUAUCCGGAUUUAUGGGGUUUAAAGGGUGCGUAGGUGGUUAAUUAAGUCAGCGGGGAAAGUUUGUGGCUCAACCAUAAAAUUGCCGUUGAAACUGGUUGACUUGAGGAUAUUUGAGGUAGGCGGAAUGCGGGGUGUAGCGGUGAAAUGCAUAGAUAUCACGCAGAACUCCGAUUGCGAAGGCAGCUUACUAAACUAUAACUGACACUGAAGCACGAAAGCGUGGGGAUCAAACAGGAUUAGAUACCCGAGUAGUC
Molecule: ribosomal RNA, 460 nt
Filed under: uncultured bacterium
Lineage: Bacteria
Description: partial 16S ribosomal RNA
Rfam family: Bacterial small subunit ribosomal RNA
Source: RNAcentral